GGAAGUAAAAGUCGUAACAAGGUCUCCGUAGGUGAACCUGCGGAGGGAUCAUUACUGAGUGAGGGCCUUCGGGCUCGACCUCCAACCCUUUGUGAACACAACUUGUUGCUUCGGGGGCGACCCUGCCGUUUCGACGGCGAGCGCCCCCGGAGGCCUUCAAACACUGCAUCUUUGCGUCGGAGUUUAAGUAAAUUAAACAAAACUUUCAACAACGGAUCUCUUGGUUCUGGCAUCGAUGAAGAACGCAGCGAAAUGCGAUAAGUAAUGUGAAUUGCAGAAUUCAGUGAAUCAUCGAAUCUUUGAACGCACAUUGCGCCCCUUGGUAUUCCGAGGGGCAUGCCUGUUCGAGCGUCAUUUCACCACUCAAGCCUCGCUUGGUAUUGGGCGCCGCGGUGUUCCGCGCGCCUCAAAGUCUCCGGCUGAGCUGUCCGUCUCUAAGCGUUGUGAUUUCAUUAAUCGCUUCGGAGCGCGGGCGGUCGCGGCCGUUAAAUCUUUCACAAGGUUGACCUCGGAUCAGGUAGGGAUACCCGCUGAACUUAAGCAUAUCAAUAAGCGGAGGAAA
This 562-nucleotide ribosomal RNA is filed under the name Cercospora sp. LIPIMC 0758. RNAcentral describes it as "eukaryotic LSU rRNA". The stretch from base 201 to 354 matches the Rfam family "5.8S ribosomal RNA". Lineage: Eukaryota; Fungi; Ascomycota; Dothideomycetes; Mycosphaerellales; Mycosphaerellaceae. The record is from RNAcentral.